Long non-coding RNA from Scaptodrosophila lebanonensis, 757 nucleotides. RefSeq lists it as uncharacterized. The record is from RefSeq and is a predicted model, not a curated record. The transcript has 4 exons. Lineage: Eukaryota; Metazoa; Arthropoda; Insecta; Diptera; Drosophilidae.
UAAAAAAAAAUAAAAAAACAAAUCGAAAAAAAAUCUAAUCUUAAGUAAAAAGUGGUUGUUAUUUUUUUUAUUAUUUCGGCUUAAGCGCGAAGUGAAACCAAUCUUAGGAUUAAGCGGAAAGUGUUUGAUUUAGUUAUUUUGUUCCCGUUCAGAGGUUAUGUAAUGUAACUAUAGUGUAUUUUCAUUUAUCCUUCCGUAUACCCAUUGGCACUCCUCACUAUUUACGCACGUGGAUCUACAAGAAAAACAUGCUGAAAUUUUAUAAGAAGAAAGAGAGACAGAAAAAAGAACAAACAGGAUUUGACUGCGACGCUGUACCCGGAUUGAACCAUACACCUUUCGAGAUAACUCACUGAAUCUUUUAGAAUUUUCACUUUUAUUCCCGGAUUGGACUAUACCUAUGAUAAUGUGAGAGUGGACUGAUUCUGAAGGUUAUAUGUAUGAACGAACGCAACUCUAGUUUCCCGAUUUCGUCUAUAUAUUUAUAUAUUUUUAGCAGUCCAUUUUCAAUUCGCUCUUCGAAACAUCUUUUUCAGACAACGCCCAUGUUUCCAAGACAGAUGGCAGCCCAUACACAUUUUUCGGCACUGUAGCUCUUUUUUAAGCAGUGCGGAGUUUUGAUAUUCGCAGAAGGGGAAAGCUACCUAUGCAAAUAUAUUUUGAUAUGAAAAUCCUAAAUAUUAUGUAUAUUUUGAUACGAAAAUCCCAAAUGUUAUGUAUAUUUUGAUACGAAAAUCGUAAAUCUUAUGUAUAUUUU